Molecule: ribosomal RNA, 443 nt
Filed under: uncultured bacterium
Lineage: Bacteria
Description: partial 16S ribosomal RNA
Rfam family: Bacterial small subunit ribosomal RNA
Source: RNAcentral
CCUACGGGUGGCAGCAGUGGGGAAUAUUGCGCAAUGGGCGCAAGCCUGACCCAGCAACGCCGCGUGAAGGAAGAAGGCUUUCGGGUUGUAAACUUCUGUUGUCAGGGACGAAGCAAGUGACGGUACCUGACGAAUAAGCUACGGCUAACUACGUGCCAGCAGCCGCGGUAAUACGUAGGUGGCAAGCGUUAUCCGGAUUUACUGGGUGUAAAGGGCGUGUAGGCGGGACUGCAAGCCAUGGGUGAAAACCACGGGCUCAACCUGUGGCCUGCAUUUGAAACUGUAGAUCUUGAGUGCUGGAGAGGCUGACGGAAUUCCUAGUGUAGCGGUGAAAUGCGUAGAUAUUAGGAGGAACACCAGUGGCGAAGGCGAUCUGCUGGACAACAACUGACGCUGAGGCGCGAAAGCGUGGGGAGCAAACAGGAUUAGAUACCCGAGUAGUC